Molecule: long non-coding RNA, 12575 nt
Filed under: Lynx pardinus (Iberian lynx)
Lineage: Eukaryota; Metazoa; Chordata; Mammalia; Carnivora; Felidae
Source: RNAcentral
AAAAAACUGUAGGUAGAACUUCAGGGUCACUGUGGGCAACAACUUCUUGUCCAAUGCUCAUCAGUAAAGUAAACCACCCCAUGACACACAUAUGGUCCUCUUCCAAUGCCACAGCAGUCACUGAGUGAACAGGUGGAAGAUAACCUUUUACAAAUUGAACUCUUGAACAAAAAAAUACAUGUUCUACCCCCUAACUUUCCAAACCCAGUGCUGACCUAAAAAUUGGCAUAUUUGAGCUCUUCUACUGAGCUGGUAAAUAAGUGGUCAAAGAUUUCUCACUUGAAAAAAAACCACCACCACACACACAAAAAUCCUCCUUUCCUUUUCAAUUUACUGGGAAUGUUUUGAUGAUAAACUCAAAAUAAAAACUCUAAACUUCUCAGAAACAGGUGAGAUACCAAGACUACUGAGUAGGGAUAUACACCAGAUGUGGCCUCAGGGCCAAGUCACUAAGACCUUCUUUGUAACUUACAAUUUAUUUGGCUUUUGGAAACCUACUGAUGGAAAGACACACACUGCCAGUCUGCUUCAAGUGGUAUGUCAAUACCACAGCAGGACGUCUGAUGGCAAAUUUUAUAGAAUAGCAGAAAGGAAAAAAAAAUGCCUCUUACACUGAUUCCACAAUAAAUUGUCAUGGGGAAAAACAAGUGCAAAACUCACACUGCAGAUCCAUGAAAGAAACAACAACAAUUCACUGUACCUGAGCUCUGCCCAUAGCGUGUGUGGAUGCCUGACAACCACACUAAGAGCCCUACCUUGCUGACUGGGCCCCCUUGUCAUCGUCAGAGCUCAUUUCCACAUCCACGGUAUCUUCUGCAGCAGGAGAAGCGGUCUGGUCUUCCUUCUUAUUGUCCUGUUUGCAUUUCUUUCUCCUUCGUUUUUUCUUUUUCACAGAACUUGAAGUGAAAACUGUUUCCGUUUCCAACAUGUGGGAGAUGUCUGAACUCUGAGAUGGUCUUUCAUUUCCACCAGAUUUCAUCAAAGGAGUAUCGAUAUCUUUAAAGAACUGAUCUUCAGUAGGAAUUGGUGAGGUGGCAAGGUAGGCAGGAAGCUUUUCCUUAAAGAGAACAUGGAGAAAGAAAAGUUGUCCCUGACAAAGUGGACAGUGAAUCAAAACAAUAAUGAACUCUUUGCAUAUCUAAAUUCACAGUGGUAGGAAGAAUACAUAGUCCUUAAAGGUAAGAAUGUCACACUGAACUAUGUUACUGCCCACUCUAUUCUGAAUAGGUCUUUACCCUGGUACACACAGAUAAUUCAACUGGUCCAUGUAACUGAAUAUAUUUGAAGGAACCAAUAUACCAAAUCAGCACACACACACACCAAAACUGUAAUUAAAGCACAGCCAGUUAAGUGUUCUAUAAAGGGAAGUUCAAAGCAGCAACAGCAGCAUUCCAAGGAGGCAAUACGAAGCACUCUGUCAAAAACUUACAAAGAACAGUAACAGGAUAAAGCGGAAGGCAGGGAUCAGGAACACCCCAUCAGACAGGGGGCAGUAGGACAGGUAAGUGAAGUGAGGAUCUCCGGUAAAUUGUGUUUGCUAAAUUAAAUGAGGGUGAAAAGGUGAUUAAAAUACACAAUACCCUGUUACAAAUGAAGUUGGCAGAUUUUAAAACUGUAACGUUAUUUAAAACAUCCUUUCAGGAAUUCAAAAGAAGAAAAUAAGGCCCAACAGUUAGAAAUAAACUCGUAAUUUAAUAUCAAAUAAAUGACCAAAGUCUGGUGUUCAGAAGAUUAACUUCGUAGUUACUGGCUUCACCCCUUUGUAUCAUGGGGGAAAUGGAAGGUAGGUAACAUAUAAAUUAACUUCAAGUAACUUAGAAUACUCAAGUUUUUACAUAAUAGUCCUGAAAAUGAGUGAAUUUCCGUAAUUGUUCUAAAUCAAGCUUUUGAAUUUGGCUUUGAUAGACAUAUUACCCCGGAGCCAAAAUUCUGUUUAUCCAGCACUGUGAUGACAGGAUACUAUUCCACAUGUCCCCAGGGCACCCAAGUUACAGGCUGUGGUCUCUGACUUCCAGGGCCUUUUAUUUUUUUUUUUUAUUAUUAUUUUUUUUUUCAACGUUUUUUAUUUAUUUUUGGGACAGAGAGAGACAGAGCAUGAACGGGGGAGGGGCAGAGAGAGAGGGAGACACAGAAUCGGAAACAGGCUCCAGGUUCCGAGCCAUCAGCCCAGAGCCUGACGCGGGGCUCGAACUCACGGACCGCGAGAUCGUGACCUGGCUGAAGUCGGACGCUUAACCGACUGCGCCACCCAGGCGCCCCCAGGGCCUUUUAAUUCAAUGGUCUUUUUUAUUAAUUGUAUAAAUAAAGUUUACUGGUACUUUUUAAAAAUUUUUUAAUUUGAGAGAGACAGAAAGAUAGAGAGAGAGUUCAUGCACGAGUAGGGGAGAGGGGCAGAGAAAGAGACAGAAUCUUAAGCAGGCUCCGUGCUGAGUGGAGGGGGCUUGAUCCCACAACCCUGAGAUCGUGACCUCAGCUGAAAUCAUGAGUCAGAUGCUGAACCGACUGAGCCAUCCAGGUGCCCCAAAGUUUACUGGUACUUCUUAAAAGCUAUUUUGUCUCUGGUGGUGUUUCCUAGUUCUAUUAUAGCACUAUGUGUAUUGUGUUGGGGGUGAUGAAAUAACCUAAAUCUCUAUCAGUACAAGAAUGGUUAAAUUGUGGUGUAUCCAUACUAUGGAUGAUUGUGCAGCUAUUAACAGGACAGGGUUAGAUACAGAACUACCAGCUUGAAAAGGAUGAUGAUCUACAGUUUAGAUGAGCAAAGUCUGAGAGAAACAAGUAUGUAAAUAAAUGGCAGCCAGAUGGGUGUUGGUAAUGCUCAUCCCUUUUAUAACUGUAAACUCCUGGAGAGUGGGGGCAUAUUUUAUUCAUAGUAUGUGGCAUAGAGUAGUAAUGUUGGAUGAAUUAAUAUUUUAAAAAAAAAUUCACAGAGAAGCAUACAAAAGAAAAUCUGAAUAAUUUGGUGAUACAUGGGAUAGGCAAAAGGGGCUGGAAAGCUGACACUCUCCAAGUUAACCUUACUAAGCAUAGUUGUAAGUGGAAUCAUCAGAAAUGACCACGAGAACCACGUAACAAAUGAUCGAUAACCCAGCCCUCUCGCUCACUGAUUUACACAAAGCCUAAUCAACCAAUGUCCUGAAAUAUACAUGAUUUUAAGGAACACAUCAAAAAUAUUUUAUUCUUGGGGCACCUGGGUGGCUCAGUUGGUUAAGCGUCCAACUCUUGAUUUUGGCUCAGGUCAUGACCUCAUGGUUUGUGAGAUUGAGCCCUGCAUCAGCUCUGCACUGGCAGCGUGGGGCCUGCUUAGGAUUCUCCCUCUCCCUCUCUCUGCCCCUCCCCUGCAUCCAUGUGUGUGCUUUCUCUCUCAAAUAAAUAAAAGUUAAAAAAAUAUAUAUUUUAUUCUUGUGGUAACUCAUUUAUUGUAUCAUUCUGUCUCUUGCUUCUGUCUCUGAUGAGGAAAAACUUUGAUAAGGCCAAGCAAACACAAACAAGGUAAUAUAAAAACAAGUAAUUAAUAGGUACUAAAAAAAAAAAAGACUGCUCUGGACUGUUUUCAUAACCAUACUUUGCACUGCUGCUUUACAUACUGGUAUCUAAAUUGUUGGUUUCUCUCUAAACUAAAAAUGAUAAACAAUCUCAUUCUAUUUUUUGGUGACUUUUCUUCUUUGAAAACCCCAAAAAAGUAGUCCUGUAUCCUUAAUAACUUGAAGGUUAUCAGUUUUGCUGAGAUUUUAUUCUUUAUGAUGAAAGCUAGAAGAUGCCUCUUCUAAGAUCCAUCAAAAACAGUUUACCACCAUCAGUGGAUACAUGGGGUGAAGGGGCGGGGAGGAACAAACUGUUCUCUCUUACUUAAAGAAGCCAAACAUGCAAUAAUGGUUUAAAAAGAUACAGGCCAAUUAAUUUAAAUCUCUGGAGACCAUAAUAAACUCAUUCACAAGCCUAUUCAAGAUUAGCGAUCCAAUGUCCCUAACCAAAACGGUUAAACAUGUUUUCCAAGUUUAAAGGUCACACAUGUACACACACACACACACACAGCCUGCAGAGAGAUAUGCCUUCAUUACUUAGGUGGAACUAACUUCCAGUCAAGGUGUAAACUGUAACAGAUACUAAAUAAGAAAGCUCAUUAAAGACAGAGAAAAAGAGAAGUGCAAGGGCCUUCUAUACGCUCUCUGUAUUCUGACACUUGGUGCUGAGAAAAGUGCCUCACUCACUCUAGCUCCUUUCUGACAGCUUAGUUCUUCAACCUAAAACUAAAGCUGGUUUAACCUGCAACAAUCACCUCUAUAACUAACCAUGAAAACUGAACAUUUCUGUCUGGAGACAGAUCCUGGAGCCUGAAUACAAUGUGUAAAGUAAAUGUGACCCACUAGAACUUACAUAUUCCUCUUCAGUCUCCUCCACAAAGAAAGCUUCCCCAUUGUCACCCAAUUUCAUGUGAAGAUCCACUGCAUCGCCAUUGAUUUCUAUAUCAAUCUAAGAAGAGAAAGUAUGAUUUAGUAUUAAAUCUUUCAUUCAUGCUAAACGAAGCCUAAAUUCUGGGUUCUCAAGCCAAACUUAGUAUUGAGGUUCCUGGAGUGAUAGUCUCUGAGAAACACUGCUACCUGCCCCACCAACCUGCCUUAAAAAACCAAACAGAUCUGGGAAGGAAGGGGAUAGGUAACCAGGGAUUGAAAGAAAAUAUUGUAUCAUUUUUAGAACAUAAAAUCUUGUACUUAAUUUCCCAAAUGGCAUAAAAUAAAGAAACGUUAUGGUCAACAAGCAAUUGAGCACUUCCAGAGUUACACCACAGACAGGCCUCAGCUGGCACGCUUCAGACAACCACAAAUUUCAGUUAAUGCAGUAUGUUACCUGUAACUCCAGAGAGCACAGACUUCAUUGCCAGCUCUCUGUCUAUAGAUCACUACAUAAAAACAGAUGCCCAGCAUGACUGGUAACCCAUCGCAUCACUUUUUCAAAAAGUGCACUAGUGACUAGCGCACCAAAUCUAUUAUUACUCAGUUCAGGCACAGACAGCAAAGCUUGUAGUGGUAGUUGUCUUCUUGUUUCCCACUGAUAAACCCAUGUGACAUUUUAUAAAAAUGGAUAAUUAAGAGGAAACUGGCCAAGAUCAAAAUGACACAAACUAAAAGUAACAUUACUGGAAGUAAACUUCAAACUGCAUGUCAACAGUUACAGAAGAAAUAGCUGACUGCGGGAAUGGGGACCCUGCUGCCACCUGAAAGGCUCAACACGUGCAGCCAGAGGCACCUGGUGAAGGCAGGCUCAUCCACACAGAGGAGCAGAGUGGCUAUUACAAAAAGGAUGAAGAUGGCCCAGAGGAAGUGACGUGGGCAAAAAAAGUCCACACUGAAGGAACUCUGACAUACUUCAUGACAUUGAAUGUUUCAGAGCUGAAAACCUGAAAGGUGAUCCAAAUUCAGAAAAGCAUACGAAAAUUUGCCAAGACGAGAGAUGCUUGUUCGGUAUCCUAAGUUUUACAUCAAGAAGGCAAGCACUGUUCAAACCAACUAAUCUUGCUAAGUUAUUUUACAAAGAAGACAUGUUAGUUCUCAAUGUUCCUAAUGUUUUAUUUAUUUUUUUUUAAAAAAAAUUUUUUUUUUUCAACGUUUAUUUAUUUUUGGGACAGAGAGAGACAGAGCAUGAACGGGGGAGGGGCAGAGAGAGAGGGAGACACAGAAUCGGAAACAGCCUCCAGGCUCUGAGCCAUCAGCCCAGAGCCUGACGCGGGGCUCGAACUCACGGACCGCGAGAUCGUGGCCUGGCUGAAGUCGGACGCUUUAACCGACUGCGCCACCCAGGCGCCCCAUCAAUGUUCCUAAUGUUUUAAAUUGCAGUGUACUAAACACCAACUUACUAUUUUUCAUUUUCUUACACAUUUUUAACUGACAAUAGAAAGUUUUUACAAAAAUUUGUAAAAUUCAUGGAAAAAUCCUAAUUUUUCUCAGUUAUUAAGUUUGCUUUGGGUUUUGACUUGCCCAGUCAUUUUUUCUAUGUAUAUAUUUUUUAUGAAUAGAAUUUAUUGUCAAAUUGGCUUACAUAUAACACCCAGUGCUCAUCCCAACAAGUGCCCUCCUCAAUGCUCAUCACACAUUUUCCCUCUGCUCCAACCCCCUUCCACCCUUAGUUUGUUCUCUGUAUUUAAGAGUCUCUUGUGGUUUGCCUCCCUCCCUCUCUGUAACAAUUUUUCCCCUUCCCUUCUCCCAUGGUGUUCUGUUCAGUUUCUCAAGAUCCACAUAUGAGUGAAAACAUAUGAUAUCUGUCCUUCUCUGACUUAUUUCACUCAGCAUAAUACCUUCCAGUUCCAUCCAUGCUGCUGAAAUCUGCCCAGUCAUUUUAAUGAUCUAUACGACCAUGCAAAGUAAGGACUGUUUAUAUAUAAUAUUAAAUACUACUUACCACUUAAAAAUAAUGUAGUCGUUCAUCUGUAGACUGUGAAUAAAUGUUUUUAAACAUCUUAUAAUAAUAAAUGAACACCAACUUUCGAAACUCUUACAGAUAAACUUGUAAACUCCAGUUUUAGACUGGUUCAGGGGACAUAAAAACGAAAGUACAGAAAAAUGUAAUACGUAUAUAAAUAGAGUAGUCCACAAUUUAAGUGUUCUUAACUUUGCAAAACCAUUGGGUUUUUCCCAGUGAGGACCAAUUAAUUAUCCCUUCUGACACUGAGUGCUGGGUCACAUCAGGUCAGUGAAGAUCAUUAACUGAAACAUGUUGUCAAAAUGCUUAUUAUAAAAAUCCUGUUAGUAACAUAACCACACUAAGGGAUAAGGAAUAAAACUAAAUAUUCUAAGACUAAAGACAAAAAGCACUAUAAACAAAUAUUGUAGUAAUUAAAAAAAAUCACAGAGAUGUGGGUAACAAUUCUAAAACUAUUUUAUGUGUAUUUUAGGAUUGAACAAAUAAGUAAACAUAUUGUAGGUAAUAAGAGCCAUGUUUCUCACUGUCAGAAAAAGAAGUUAUAAAUAAGGAGAUGAGAAGGAACCUUCUAGGGAUGGACUGGAAUCAGAGGAAUCAGUGUGAACUCAUAAUUUUUACAGACAAAUGUAGGUACACGUAUUUACAUACAGAAAUUUUCCAGCUCUGCCUGCUGACAGGGCCUAGAGGCAAUGACACCUCAGUAAUGAGCACACCUAGUGACCAGAUGCUUUGUUUCUAGACACGAUUCUCUAAUAAAAGGAACCACUGCUCCUCAGAGAAACAAAAUAAUUACAUUCCAGGGCUGAGGCAGGUAAAGUAGAUUCUUGUCAAAUAGCUCAUGGUGCCAAAAAGUAAGGAAGUGCUCAAAAAAUGAUGGGAACAUAUCAAAAGGACUCAACCUGAAGGAGCUACCUACUAAUUGCCAAACCUGGGACAAUUUGAGCAACUACAUAAUGAUAAUAAUGGAUUAUAACCCAAAGAGUAAAAUUAAUAUUCAGAAGUCCAUACUGAUCUGAAUAAAUAAUUGAAUAAGUAAACAGAAGGACAGCUCUUUGAUACAGUAGAAUUUCAGUUAAUAAAUGGAGUAGAAAGGAUGGAAAACAGAAAAUCAUUUGGCAAACACCACAGUAAUAACUACUGCAAGCAAAAUUCAUCAAUGUAUGCUAAAAUCCAUGGGUGGAAGUAUGAUGAAAACCGGUAUAUUUGCACAAUCUCCAAGUUUCUUCCCACAAAUAAAUUUUUAGACAAGGAACCUAGUAGACACCACUAACCAAGGGAUCAAAGUUAACAUCACCAAUAAUGAGAUACGGCACCAUGAUGGGCUUCCUAAGAUGAUAUACUGAGAAGGGCACACUAUCACUCUGUGUUAUUCUUCCCCAAAUGAGAAAACAUCAGACAAACUCAAACUGAGGGACAAUGUACAUAAUAACCAUUCUGUCCUCCUCAAAAGUCAAGGUUGUAAGGAAAGACAGAAUGGUUACAGAAUAUAGAAUGAAAGUAAUGUGGGAUCCUGGAUAGGAUCAUAGACAAAAAGACCAUAGUGAAUCUGAAUAAGGUCUUUAGUUAAUAAUAUUAUACCAAUGUUAACUGCCUAGUUCUGAUAAAUUGUACCACGGUCAUGUGAAAUGUCAACAGUAGGGGAAGAAGUGGGUGACAGAUACAGAAACUAUUUAAAAUACAUUUGCAACUUGUUAAACAUCUAAAAUAUAGGAGUUAAAAAUAUGCUAAUGUCAUUAAAAAACUGACUCAGAACAGUCACAGACUGGAAGAGACUGUGAGGACAGCUAAGUGUUCCAUGUCAUGACUACAGUGAUGCUUUCAUGAGUGCACCUAUGGUAAAAGUUUUAAAAUUAUAUCCUUUGAAUAUGUGUUACUGUGUUAAUUACAAAAUGAAAAAAGCUCUUAAAAAAGGAAAAAAAAAUUAUAACAGAAAAUGAGAAAAAUAGGCAACUAUUAAAUACAAAAUAACAAAAUCCUAUGCAAAAGAAAAUUCCUGUUUAAGAUGUGUUAACAAAAUUAUUAUUUUGUAAGAAACUCAUUUUUCUUUCACUUUUUAAAUUUUUUUAAAAUCUUUUUUUAUUUUUGAGAGAGAGAGAGACACAGCGCAAGCAGGGGGGAACAGAGAGGGAGGGAGACACAGAAUCUGAAGCAGGCUUCAGGUUCUGAGCUGUCAGCACAGAGCCUUAUGCAGGGCUCGAACUCACCAACAGUGAGAUCAUGACCUGAGCUGAAGUCAGACACCCAACCGACUGAGCCACCCAGGCACUCCGCCCCUCUUUUACUUCUUAAAAGAAAAGGGUGCAUAAAAUAAGUUUCCACAGGACAAACAUUAAUUCAUUUCUCAACUAAGUUCUUCAUGUUUUAGAUUACUGUGAAUAUUUAUGGCUUAAAUAAAGCUGGGUAUGACAUGGAAUCUAACGCUUCCAAAACCAAGUAGUGCAACAAAUUCCUGGGCUAAAAAAAUAUUAUUUUCAGGUUAAGUUUAAAAUGUGUUUCAUAAUAAACUGGUUGAAGUCACAUAAGCAUCUAGAAUCAUCUAUUUCCGAAGCAGCUCUAAUAGCAGCAGCUUCUACAGAGGAAAAAUGUUUUCUAAGUUCUAUGAGGGCUGAUGAAGUAAAGAAAUAGAUAUAUUUUCCUAGACUGUAAGAGCAAGGGGACUGGGAAAACUAAAUCUGCUCCAUAAUGCCAAGUUUUAGGUUCCUCAGGAUGACUUAAAUACUUAAUUGCAUUUUUUCAACUAGAAGUUGGACAUAAAAAUAAUUGAAAUCAUCAUUUGUUUAUUGAUUUGUGGUUGUAUAAAUUCUUUAAGUUAAAUUACACACAAAUUAAAUAUUAAAGUUAUUUUACCUUUCAUAAAAAAACAACAGAUUCAAACUAGUAUCCUUCAAAUUUUCAUCUUUGUAGGUUAUCCAUUUAUCCUAGGGAGCUGGGAAAAUAGAACAAUGCCUCUUUCAGAAUGCAGUCUGGUUUUAAACCAUCUUAAAAAAAUUCACCCUUCAUUUAUAGCCUGUCUAACUUUAGUGAUCAAAUAUGACAUUUUCCAAUAUGACUAGUCUCUUAUUCUGCCUCUAAAUGGAGUUUGGGUACCCCCAAAUUAAAUCUAACAUCAAAUUGCGGCAAUACUAAGGGUACUAAAAGAAUAUGCCAGAAGCUCUUUAAGUAACAAAGCAAAAAUAUUAAGAAAUAUUUUGAGAGAUGGCACCAAAUUGGAAUAAAUGCUUCCCAAGGUGAUUAUUUUUUUUUUAAUUUUUUUUUAAUUUUUUUUUUUUUAUCAAGGUGAUUAUUUUAAAGAGGGUACUCAUUUUGAUGUACUACUCCUUAUAAACUGGUAUCUAAAACAAUAUUCCUAUCUACAUAGUCUUACUUCCUACACUGUGGCUUAAUCUUGCUCAAUAUAUAUGACUGAGAUGUUGAAAUAGAACUGAUUUACUUUUUAGAAAUACCUGCUAUAGCAGACACUUGUUUUGGCAUACCACUCUUCAGGUAAGAGUAUCAGUGGUGUCCUCUGGAGAUCUCCUCAUCCUCUAUUUCAGACAGUUUCAGGCAUGGCUUCAUGGGGCUGCUGUCCAAGCCAAGCCAAUCAGUACAUUCCACCCCAGCUAUAGUGACUGGUCUGCAAGGUACAUGUGACUCAAGUCUGACAGGGAGAUUAAACACUGAUACUUCUGUGGGAAGAAGCAGGUCUCUUUCCCCUAGGGUUGCUGAGUUCAUGGGAAAUAAGCCAGGAGGUAGUGGCCAUCUUGCAUUAGAGAGAGCAUACACAAAAGGAGGCAGAGCUGAGAGGUGGGCAGAGAAAGGGUUCUGGUUAACACCCUCAAAGACCUGAUUAAUUCAAAUGCUCCUGGACAUUAGUUAUGCAAGCCAAUAAAUUCCCUUUUUUUGCUUAAGCUAGUGCGAGGUGGAUUUUUGUCACCCACAAUGGAAACUUCCUGUCUAAUACACUGGAUUAUUUAACUUUGAUAAGUAAUCAAAUCAUUAGUUUUGCGUUAAAUCAACAAAAUUAGUAUUUUAAAAACAGCAACUGCAGGUUUACCUUCUGAAAUUCAACUCGGGUUAUGAAAUAUACUGGGAGUAGUGGUGUUCUAUCAAACAAAAACAUACCAGUGACAGUGGGAAAAUUAUUAUACGGUAUCUCCCUAACCAGAAGCUUUAAGAUGAUUAUGAUUUCCAGUCCAGGUGCCACCAUUAUAGGUGUCACCAUAAUUGGGGUCUUAGUGUAAAAUCAGUGAGUAGCUUUCCCUAGUCCAAACUGACCUAAAAUAAGACAGUUAAUCCAAACUGCCUGAGUAUCUCAAGGCAGACAUGGUUCUGGUUUUACUGUCGCAGGAAAGCUGUGUUUCAGUCAAAGAGCCAAAUUUCUGCUCAAACACAUCCUUUGAGCUCCUAGGGGUACUAGCGCAAAAGAAAUUUUCCCUUUUCCUGUGUCUCAUGGACAGACUAUUAAAAUCCAAGGGUUUGACAAGAUACAGAAUACAGUCAUUUGGGUAGCCUGGUACUGAACUUUUACUUUCUUAAUUAGAGGCACACAGCAUGUAGAAAGAGGUAUGUUGUCUGUCCGGUCACCAUUUAUAGAUACACAAAUGCUUACAUAUAACAUCAGCCUGCAGAUUCCAUUCUGAAAGGCCAAAAGACUUAACCAAUCUACUGAUCAAAAUCCAGAUCACAGAAAAACAAACAAAAGUGCCAUAUAAGCCAUUUCCUGAAUAGAUCCUUGCACAACUAAUGGGAAAUUUCAGCGCAUAAACAAUUUUGUACAGAUUCUCCCAAAGCAGAUAAAAACUGAAAGUACUAUACGUUAGUGUUACUGGCUAGAAAUAAAAAAUUCCAAGAAGCUAAACUGUGGCUAAACACUGUUUUGCAAGGGAAAGUUUCCAAGUUACUAAGUGAAUUGCGACUGCUUUUGGUUUCCAAAGGGUGUCUCUGAACAGAGGCCGACCAUACAAACCCUGCCAUCCUACAAGGUGGUUCUCCAGUGAAAUACUGAUUUAUAACACCUCGGAAAAAAGAUGUGUGUUUUGAGGGCGGGGGGGGGGGGGCAAGUGGGGAGAAUAUAUAGUUGUGUGCAACCCAUAAGCCUUUUCUUCCAUCCCCCAAAAAACUUAAGUUUAAUUAAAACACAAAUUUCUAUUUUAUAGAAUAAGAUUAGCUAUGCAAAACAGCCAAAAUCUGAAAAUAGAUGAUUCGAAUUAUGCCAGUGGUCCUCUAACAUCUAGUUCUGUGACCCAAAAUGGUGUAGAUCUUUCAUUGUGCUUUAUAAUCCUGACAAAAUCUCCCUCCAUUGUUUAGGUAAAUAAUGUGGGGUAAGAGCAGAAGGGUAAAAAAAUACUACCAUGUACCUGCAAAGUUUUAUUACUAGCUCAAUUUUCUAACUUGAUUGACAUCAAAUAUACUAACAUGUCUUACCAUUGUUCCAAUAUUUGAAGGAGAGAGGAUGUAAGAAAAAGGAAAAUACAAAUUAUCUUCUUUCUAAAUGAACCUUCCCUGAAAUAAAACUAAACGCCAACAAGCCCAUGAUGUGAGUUUGCAUUUAGUAAGAUCUGGAGACAAGUCCUGGUAUCACUAACAAAAUUUAAAUACAAAUAAGAUUCAACAGCUUUCUCAAAACAAGGAAAACUGGCAUUAAUUUUACUUAAACAAAUGUAAUGUAUUCUUGAUUACCUCAGUCUAUUCCAUUCAUAAAUGGUAUGAAGCCACUGCUCUAAAUAUUUUAAAGUAGUAUAUAAGGUAAAGAAACUUUUUCUAAAUAUACCUAACAUUCUCCAUUUACAACUCCAGUUUCUCUAUUUUGCUCCUCUGAGCUGCAACAAAUGGGAUUAUCAAGAUAAUUUUCAGCUUUUUUUCCCCCUUGGAGAGACUUUCUAUGCUUAUGAAUUCAGCAGCAACUUCAAAAUAAAACAUAAAGGCUGACUUCUCAUAUGAUUAUCUUCAACAUUAUACAGGUUUUCCUUAAAAAAAAAAAAAAAAAAGAGCCAGAGAGAGUACACAGGAACAACUUAUUCUGUUCCCAUCUAACCUUUCACCCUCCUUGAGAACAAGCUGUCUCCUGUACUCACCACUUUCUCUUUGGAUCUCAGGACUCCCAGCUUCCCAAAUCGAACGUGAAAAGGCGAACACUGAUAGGUGCCAUCCUGCUGUCGCACCACAAUGACAUCGAUGCAGCC